AGCGAACGUUUGCGGCGGGCUUAACACAUGCAAGUCGAACGGGCUGUUCCCUUCGGGGCGAGUCAGUGGCGCACGGGUGGCGUAACACGUAGGUAAUCAACCCUUCAGCUCGGGAGUAACACUUCGAAAGGAGUGCUAAUACCGGAUGUGAUGCGGGGCUCUUCGGAGUGCUGCAGGAAAGAUCCGCAAGGGUCACUGAAGGACGAGCCUGCGGCCCAUCAGCUAGUUGGCGAGGUAAUGGCUCACCAAGGCGAAGACGGGUAGCUGGUCUGAGAGGAUGAUCAGUCACACUGGAACUGAGACACGGUCCAGACUCCUACGGGAGGCAGCAGUGGGGAAUAUUGCGCAAUGGGCGAAAG
This 359-nucleotide ribosomal RNA is filed under the name uncultured bacterium. RNAcentral's name for it is "bacterial SSU rRNA". It matches the Rfam family "Bacterial small subunit ribosomal RNA", at positions 29 to 381 of the family's 1533-position model. The record is from RNAcentral.